AACACGUAGGGGACGAGCGUUGUCCGGAUUCAUUGGGCGUAAAGCGCGCGUAGGCGGCUCGGAAAGUCGGUCGUGAAAUCCUGGGGCUCAACCCCGGAACUGCGUCCGAUACUCCCGAGCUGGAGGCAGGUAGGGGAGAUCGGAAUUCCUGGUGUAGCGGUGAAAUGCGCAGAUAUCAGGAGGAACACCGGUGGCGAAGGCGGAUCUCUGGGCCUUGCCUGACGCUGAGGCGCGAAAGCUAGGGGAGCGAACAGGA
Molecule: ribosomal RNA, 256 nt
Filed under: uncultured prokaryote
Description: partial 16S ribosomal RNA
Rfam family: Bacterial small subunit ribosomal RNA
Source: RNAcentral